RNAcentral lists this ribosomal RNA (1319 nucleotides) under Histia rhodope. RNAcentral's name for it is "16S ribosomal RNA". The record is from RNAcentral. Lineage: Eukaryota; Metazoa; Arthropoda; Insecta; Lepidoptera; Zygaenidae.
GGGAUAAAAUUAAUAAGAGUUAAAUUUAAUAAAAUAAAUUUUAAAUAAAUAUUUUGGGGGGUUAAAGUAUUUAGAAAGAAAAAAUUUAUAGAUUUAUAGAGGAAUAGUAUUGUAAAAUAAAUUUGAAAUAGUUGAAAAUUUAUUAUUAAAAAAGUAAUUUUAAUUUAGUGUAUCUUGUGUAUCAGAGUUUAUUUAGAAAUGUUUUUAGGGGGAAAAUUCUCGAAUUAAAAAGAGUUAAAUAAUUAAUUAAAUUAUUGUGUCAAAAAUAUUUUUAAUAAUUAUUUUGAAAUGAAAAGUUAUUCGUUUUUUAAGAUAUCUAGUUUUUUUAGAAAAAAAUUUAAUUUUAAAUUAAUUUAUUUAAUAAUUUAAUAAUUAAUUAUUAGAAAUUUUAAUUUUAUAUUUUAUGGGAUAAGCUUUAAAAUAAAUAUCUAAAAUAUUUUAUAAAUAAAUAAAAAUUUUAUAAUUUAUAUUGUUAAUAAAAUUUAAUUUAUUAUAAAUAAUUUUAAUAUAAGUAAAAUUUAUUUAAGUAUUUAGAUUUUUAUAAAAAAAUAAUUUUUAAUGGAAAAAAAUUAAUUAUAAUGAUAAAAUUAGUAUAUUAAAUAUGAAAUAAGUUUUUUUAAUUAAAAAUAAUUUUAAGGAAUUCGGCAAAAAUUUAUAUUCGCCUGUUUAUCAAAAACAUGUCUUUUUGAUUAUAAUUUAAAGUCUAAUCUGCCCACUGAUAAUAAUUAAAGGGCUGCAGUAUUUUGACUGUACAAAGGUAGCAUAAUAAAUAGUCUUUUAAAUGGAGACUAGUAUGAAUGAUUGGACGAGAUAUAGACCGUCUCAAUAUUAAAAAUUGAAUUUAAUUUUUUUAUUAAAAAGUUAAAAUAUAAUUAAAAGACGAGAAGACCCUAUAGAGUUUUAUAAAAAUAUUAAUUAUGAUUAAUUUUAUAAGUUUAAAAUAAAAAUUAAUUUUAUUAUUUUGUUGGGGUGAUAGUAAAAUUUAAAAAACUUUUAUUUAUAAUUACAUAAAUAAAUGAAUUUAUUGAUCCAAAAUUUUUGAUUAUAAGAAAAAAUUACCUUAGGGAUAACAGCGUAAUUUUUUUUUUUAGUUCAAAUAAGAAAAAAAGUUUGCGACCUCGAUGUUGGAUUAAGAUAAAAUUUAAAUGCAAAAGUUUAAAAUUUUGAUCUGUUCGAUCAUUAAAAUCUUACAUGAUCUGAGUUCAAACCGGUGUGAGCCAGGUUGGUUUCUAUCUUUAAUAAAAUAAAAUAUUUUAGUACGAAAGGAUCAAAUAUUUAGAAUAAUUCUAUUAAUUUGAAUAUUAGUAAAUAGUAAUUAA